Molecule: ribosomal RNA, 253 nt
Filed under: uncultured bacterium
Lineage: Bacteria
Description: partial 16S ribosomal RNA
Rfam family: Bacterial small subunit ribosomal RNA
Source: RNAcentral
UACGUAGGGUGCGAGCGUUGCCCGGAUUUAUUGGGCGUAAAGAGCGUGUAGGCGGCCAAGCAGGUCCGUUGUGAAAACUGGAGGCUUAACCUCCAGACGUCGACGGAAACCGCGCGGCUAGAGUCCGGAAGAGGAGAGUGGAAUUCCUGGUGUAGCGGUGAAAUGCGCAGAUAUCAGGAAGAACACCAAUGGCGAAGGCGGUUCUCUGGGCCUUACCUGACGCUGAGGAGCGAAAGCGUGGGGAGCGAACAGG